AUGGGACAGGCCAGGCUGAAGCCACCUGUUGGUAGCUGCUUGCUACAGGCUGGGAUGAAGCAACCUGUUGGUAGCUGCUUGUUACAGGCUGGGAUGAAGAUACUCUCUGGGAAGCAGAUGGGACAGGCCAGGCUGAAGCCACCUGUUGGUAGCUGCUUGCUACAGGCUGGGAUGAAGCAACCUGUUGGUAGCUGCUUGUUACAGGCUGGGAUGAAGAUACUCUCUGGGAAGCAGUUUGGACAGGCUGAUCUGAUGCUUUUUGCUGGUAGCCGCUUUGGACUGGCUUUGAAGUGCUAGUAGAGGGCUUAAAGCUUGAGGCGUAUGGAUGUGCCCUAGAAACAAAGCUGGAUGGCAAAGUGCUCUGCACAGGCCGAUAUGAAACUCCCUGCUGGUACGUGCUUUGGGCAAGUCCUAGAGCGCCAACAGAGGGCUUAUAGGUUGAAGUAGAGGAAACGUCCUGAGAGCUGUACAGACUCGAAGCACUUUGUCCGGUUCCCACAGCACUAGAACCAAAGCCAACACUUGGGGAAGAAAGGCCAGACUGAUAGCUGCUCUGUACAGGUUGAGCUGAAGAUACUCUCUGGGAAGCAGAUGGGACAGGCCGGGCUGAAACCACGUGUUGGUAGCUGCUCGCUACAGGCUGGGCGGAAGCAACCUGAUGGUAGCUGCUCGCUACAGGCUGGGCGGAAGCCAACUGUUGGUAGCUGCUCGCUACAGGCUGGGCGGAAGCAACCUGCUGGUAGCUGCUCAGGACAGGCUGGGCUGAAGAUGCUCUCUGGGAAGCAGAUGGGACAGGCUGGGCUGAAGCCACGCGUUGGUAGCUGCUCACUACAGGCUGGGCGGAAGCAACCUGCUGGUAGCUGCUCAGGACAGGCUGGGCUGAAGAUGCUCUCUGGGAAGCAGAUGGGAAAAGCGGGGUUGAAGCCACCUGUUGGUAGCUGCUCGCUCCAGGCUGGGCGGAAGCCACCUGUUGGUAGCUGCUCGCUCCAGGCUGGGCGGAAGCCACCUGUUGGUAGCUGCUCGCUCCAGGCUGGGCGGAAGCCACCUGUUGGUAGCUGCUCGCUCCAGGCUGGGCGGAAGCCACCUGUUGGUAGCUGCUCGCUCCAGGCUGGGCUGAAGAUGCUCUCUGGGAAGCAGAUGGGAAAAGCGGGGCUGAUGCCACCUGUUGGAAGCUGCUCGCUAGAGGUUGAGCUGAAGCAACCUGUUGGUAGCUGCUCGCUACAGGCUGGGCUGAAGAUACUCUCUGGGAAGCAGAUGGGACAGGCUGGGCGGAAGAUACUCUCUGGGAAGCAGAUGGGACAGGCUGGGCGGAAGAUACUCUCUGGGAAGCAGAUGGGACAGGCUGGGUUGAAGCCACCUGAUGGUAGCUGCUCGGGACAGGCUGGGCGGAAGCCACCUGUUGGUAGCUGCUCGCUACAGGCUGUGCGGAAGCCACCUGUUGGUAGCUGCUCGCUACAGGCUGGGCGGAAGAUACUCUCUGGGAAGCAGAUGGGAGAGGCUGGGUUGAAGCCACCUGAUGGUAGCUGCUCGGGACAGGCUGGGCGGAAGCCACCUGAUGGUAGCUGCUCGGGACAGGCUGGGCGGAAGAUACUCUCUGGGAAGCAGAUGGGACAGGCCGGGCUGAAGCUACCUGUCGGCAGCUGCUCUGGACAGGCCGGGCUGAACCUGCCUGCUGGUAUGCUGUCUGCACAGACUGGUCUGAGGCUUGUUGGAAGGAGGUGCUUAGGGCAGGCUUAAGAUCCCUAGUUAGUGGCUGAAAGCUUGAGGUGUAGGUAGUUCCCUGAAAACUGAAUGCCCUUGAGCCUGCAUUGGUCAAACUACUAUCAAAGGCCUGAGUUUUUGAGAAGUCCUGGGUUUCCUCAAAAUAAGCUUCUUGACUAGGCACAAAUCCAGAAUCAGAGCUUGUCUGAGCAGUAGUACUUUCAGUGCUCCCAUCCUGAGCACCAUCUUUUGUACAAUGAUGCCUGUAAACUAAGUAUAGUUCACAUUCAAAGCAUGUAGUUUGUUAGAACUUUUCAUCUUGCUAAUGGAGAGUGAAAACUUACCACUUCCUGCAUCAGCAUAACUCAGUACUAGUAACAAAAUCCUGUUGAAAACAGAUAUAAUUAACAAAGAAAGCAAGCUGUUUUCUGUUAAAUAUCACUAAAUGAAAUCGACAUACCACAAAGGCUUCCAGAGUGUUUCUGCCAUUGCAAAAAUCAAAGCUCCAAAAACAACCCUGGCCACCCUCAAAAACAGACAAAUGUUUCUGUCCUACUUCUCCAAGCAGCCACAUGUUCCUUUAAUAUCAUCAAAAUGCACCUGCCCCACCUCUCCCUAUU
Molecule: long non-coding RNA, 2321 nt
Organism: Pygocentrus nattereri (red-bellied piranha)
Lineage: Eukaryota; Metazoa; Chordata; Actinopteri; Characiformes; Serrasalmidae
Source: Ensembl